GUCACCUGGGCUUUCCAGGGGGCUCUCUGUCUCUUUCCAGAUCCCUCCAUUCAGCCGUUUCGGUUAAUAUCACACCCAGUUGUUGGGCUCCGCUAAUUGUUGGCUGCCUGGUCUGCUGUUUUCAGCAAUGCCCAUAAACUGCUGCACAGUCUUCUGGCUACUGCUCAGCUUUGAGGCCAGUCACUGAGGUUUGUUCUUACGCCAGGAGGCUCUUCUUAGUAGUCUCUUUCCUUGGUUCUCCCUGGUGAACUGACUUGGUUUAGGUUUUUGCUCUUAAUUAAUAGAAGAGCUGUCUUUUUUUUUUUUCCCCCAAGAGAACCCUGAGGCUUGAAUGUCUGUUUCAAAUGAGGUCAUUUCCUUUGUGCAGAACUUUGCAGCCCUCUGUGAACUGCCUUUCUCCUGGGAAGAAUCUUUGGGCCACUGCUCUGCAGUGGUAGCCUCUGCUUUUCGUGACUUGCUUCUCUUGGAACUGAAAGGAGAGGGAGCCCCAUCUUCUUGGCCAUACCCACCCCACAUGGAGUCUGUCAAGUGGAGCUGGGGGUUGGUUGGGAUGUUAUGCAGGCUGUGGUGAUGCAUUGAGCUGUUACAUCUCCCUGGUUUUACAGACUUUGUCGUUUAUUCUCAGGAGAAACUUGGUUAAGCACGGUCAGUUGUAUAAACCUAAACAAAGUUCUAGCUUCUCUGAGCCUCAGGUUUCUGCUGUAAAAUUAAAAAAAAAAAUUUUGGGGGGGGCAAGAUCCAAUAAACUCUUGAUACGAA
Long non-coding RNA from Bos taurus (domestic cattle), 759 nucleotides. The record is from Ensembl. NCBI's taxonomy places the organism in Eukaryota, Metazoa, Chordata, Mammalia, Artiodactyla, Bovidae.